This 816-nucleotide ribosomal RNA is filed under the name uncultured bacterium. RNAcentral describes it as "bacterial SSU rRNA". It matches the Rfam family "Bacterial small subunit ribosomal RNA", at positions 636 to 1451 of the family's 1533-position model. The record is from RNAcentral.
UNUGACUUGAGUGCAGAAGGGGAGAGUGGAAUUCCAUGUGUAGCGGUGAAAUGCGUAGAUAUAUGGAGGAACACCAGUGGCGAAAGCGGCUCUCUGGUCUGUCACUGACGCUGAGGCUCGAAAGCGUGGGUAGCGAACAGGAUUAGAUACCCUGAUAGUNCACGCCGUAAACGAUGAGUGCUAGGUGUUAGGCCCUUUCCGGGGCUUAGUGCCGGAGCUAACGCAAUAAGCACUCCGCCUGGGGAGUACGACCGCAAGGUUGAAGCUCAAAGGAAUUGACGGGGGCCCGCACAAGCGGUGGAGCAUGUGGUUUAAUUCGAAGCAACGCGAAGAACCUUACCAGGUCUUGACAUCCCGAUGCUAUUCUUAGAGAUAGGAAGUUACUUCGGUACAUCGGAGACAGGUGGUGCAUGGUUGUCGUCAGCUCGUGUCGUGAGAUGUUGGGUUAAGUCCCGCAACGAGCGCAACCCUUAUUGUUAGUUGCCAUCAUUAAGUUGGGCACUCUAGCGAGACUGCCGGUAAUAAACCGGAGGAAGGUGGGGAUGACGUCAAAUCAUCAUGCCCCUUAUGACCUGGGCUACACACGUGCUACAAUGGUCGGUACAACGAGUUGCGAGCCGGUGACGGCAAGCUAAUCUCUGAAAGCCGAUCUCAGUUCGGAUUGGAGGCUGCAACUCGCCUCCAUGAAGUCGGAAUCGCUAGUAAUCGCGGAUCAGCACGCCGCGGUGAAUACGUUCCCGGGCCUUGUACACACCGCCCGUCACACCACGAGAGUUUGUAACACCCGAAGUCGGUGAGGUAACCUUUUAGGGNCCA